GUAGGUGGCAAGCGUUGUCCGGAAUUAUUGGGCGUAAAGCGCGCGCAGGCGGUCCUUUAAGUCUGAUGUGAAAGCCCACGGCUCAACCGUGGAGGGUCAUUGGAAACUGGGGGACUUGAGUACAGAAGAGGAAAGCGGAAUUCCAAGUGUAGCGGUGAAAUGCGUAGAGAUUUGGAGGAACACCAGUGGCGAAGGCGGCUUUCUGGUCUGUAACUGACGCUGAGGCGCGAAAGCGUGGGGAGCAAACAGGAUUAGAUACCCUGGUAGCCCACGCCGUAAACGAUGAGUGCUAAGUGUUAGGGGGUUUCCCGCCCCCCUUAGUGCUGCAGCUAACGCAUUAAGCACUCCGCCUGGGGGAGUACGGCCCGCAAGGCUG
This 376-nucleotide ribosomal RNA is filed under the name uncultured organism. Its description in RNAcentral is "partial 16S ribosomal RNA". It matches the Rfam family "Bacterial small subunit ribosomal RNA", at positions 527 to 896 of the family's 1533-position model. The record is from RNAcentral.